GACGAACGCUGGCGGCGUGCUUAACACAUGCAAGUCGAACGGAAAGGCCCUGCUUUUGUGGGGUGCUCGAGUGGCGAACGGGUGAGUAACACGUGAGUAACCUGCCCUUGACUUUGGGAUAACUUCAGGAAACUGGGGCUAAUACCGGAUAGGAGCUCCUGCUGCAUGGUGGGGGUUGGAAAGUUUCGGCGGUUGGGGAUGGACUCGCGGCUUAUCAGCUUGUUGGUGGGGUAGUGGCUUACCAAGGCUUUGACGGGUAGCCGGCCUGAGAGGGUGACCGGCCACAUUGGGACUGAGAUACGGCCCAGACUCCUACGGGAGGCAGCAGUGGGGAAUAUUGCUCAAUGGGCGGAAGCCUGGUGCAGCAACGCCGCGUGCGGGAUGACGGCCUUCGGGUUGUAAACCGCUUUCGCCUGUGACGAAGCGUGAGUGACGGUAAUGGGUAAAGAAGCACCGGCUAACUACGUG
Molecule: ribosomal RNA, 468 nt
Filed under: uncultured bacterium
Lineage: Bacteria
Description: partial 16S ribosomal RNA
Rfam family: Bacterial small subunit ribosomal RNA
Source: RNAcentral